Molecule: long non-coding RNA, 2294 nt
Organism: Diceros bicornis minor
Lineage: Eukaryota; Metazoa; Chordata; Mammalia; Perissodactyla; Rhinocerotidae
Exons: 3
Source: RefSeq, a predicted model, not a curated record
GAGGUGGGCGUCUUCUUUUGUUCUGGAAAAGAACCCACAGAUUUGUGGAGAUGAAACUAUGGUGAGGUACCCAGCAGUCUCUGGCUGGUGGGUGUCCUUCUGUCAGAUCCUGGGAGGAUGAAAGCCCUAUUUCAGAAACACCAGAGCCUAUGGGGGCAUUUCCAGAACUGGGCAGUUGGCUCCUCCAUUAACAGAUAAUAACACUGGCGUUGGCCCAACUCUGUUGACUAAGCCAUGCACAACCCACAGGGUGGAACACGCCAGUCCGAGGCCUGUGGGAAGGGGAUUGUUGGAGGUUCCAGGUUUAAGGAAGGGCUCCUCUCGUUCGGUAGUGUUCAGCGGACCCCCAGGAGCUGGGCCGGUAACUGUCCAGAGAAACUGAAUGCGGGAAUCUUCCAAAUGCCCCCAGUAGGAAAGACGAGCGCAAAGGUCUUAGCGUGGCGCUGGGUAUUGGCCACGCUUCUGAAGAGGAAGAAGGAGAGGGAAGGCUGCACUGGCCCCGAAUUCACAGGACCCAGUGAGCAGCUGGAUUUCAAGUUGAGGAUGCAAGCCCAGACCCAGAGUGAGCCCCAGCCCACACUUCUCUCUCCUGGACUUCCCAAAAAUUCCAACUGAACCUCAACACCUCAAGAUCCCUUCAGCCUGAUGGGAACCUGCCAUCAACCCGCCAUUGUAUGAAAAGACCUGUUCCAGCACGUCUUGAGCGUUCAAGACAAAAUGGUUAUGACCGUUGUUCAAGCAUGGCAAAGAAGUAUGAGCGACGCUGGUCUGCAGAGUGAGGUCCACACUCUUCAGCCUGGUGUAUGAGGGCCUCCAACCUCACCUCUGGGUUUGCCACACAGCUCCUUCCAAAUAGCAAGUGUUUUCAAGAGGCCUCGCCUUUGCAUAAGCCCCUAGGAUGCCCUUCCUUCCAACUGUUAAGCUCGUGAACCCCAAAAACCUGAACCAAAUGUAACCAAUGCCACAGUGGAGCCAUUCCAGGCCGACCUUGCAGGGAGGUCCUGGGGGCCCCCACCAGCCUGCUGGCUUCCCUGUCAGUUCCCUUCGAAAUGCAGAGGCCCUCCUUCCCUGCGGGCCUCCCCUCUGGCUGGGAACACCCUGCAGGGGAUGAGGCAUCUGCAGACCUGUCCUGCAGUGGGACCUGGGGCCUGGGGCAGGCCUGGGAGGCAUUUUGUUCCUGUCCCGGAAUGGUGAUCACCUUCCUUUUUGCACAAUAGUCCCUUGUUCUCUUAAUUCGUCUUCGGCUGGUCGUGCCUAUGAGGUUUCAUGUCUUCCAGAACAAGCCCCACUUGUUCACCCAUGAGCCAGGCUGCUCUGAGUGGACACCCAGUAAAUGCUAAAUUGAACUAACUCAAAGAGGAGAAAAGUUAGGACAGCAAGCUUCUGGCAAUUAUCUCAGAACUCCAAGGAGAUGACUCAACAAAGACCAGCAGAAUGCAAAGAAGAUGGGAGGACAUUGUCAAUCUGACCAGUCAGAUGUGGGAGAGAAAGGGCAAGACAAAGCUGGAGGUGACAAGUUUCAGGUCUCAUUGAAGGGUCUCAAAUUUAUUUACAAGAGACUGAAUGAGAGACUGGAAAUAAUCAUUAUAAAACAAGCAGAAAAGUAAGAUUGCCAACACGUUUCCUAACAUUCAGGCCAAGUUCACGGUGUGCCUACAUGGGUGUUUCCAGGCAUGUGUUAGUCCUGGGGCUGCCGCAACAGAUUGCCACAAACUGGGUGACCUGAAACAACAGGAAUUUAUCCUCUUACAGUUCUGGAGGCCAGAGUCUGAAAUUAAGGCAUCGGCAGGACCAGGCUCCUGGGGAAAAUCCUUCCUGCCUUCUCUUGGCUUCUGGUGGUCACCAGCAAUCCAGCUGAUGCCGGCUCAACACCAGGUUGACGUGAGGGAAGCCAUAUUACAGAAAAGAAACCCUAUUGUAACUUUGAAUGACCUCUGACUAACUGACCCAGACAUGCUCUGUGGAUUUUAUGGCCCCUCCCAGCUGCUACAAGUUGAUAACUUUGUUCUUUUGAGUUCUUUAGGAAUGUGAUGACCCCUGGGCAGAGUCUAUGCUGACAGCCAUCAUCAAUGACAACUGAAAGAUCAGGGUAUAGGGUGUUGCUUCAGUAUCUGAUGUGUAUCAAGUAAAACAAAAGACUGUCAGGAACUAAGACCAGCUGCCUCCUCCACCCAGAGACCAGCCCUCUAUAUAACUGGCCUGUAAUCUUUGCUCUGUAAGAUGGUUCUUUUGGACAUGAGUCUGCCAUCUUCCCUGUUGCUACCAAGCUGUAAUAAAAAGUCUUUUCUCUCCUA